Molecule: ribosomal RNA, 465 nt
Filed under: uncultured bacterium
Lineage: Bacteria
Description: partial 16S ribosomal RNA
Rfam family: Bacterial small subunit ribosomal RNA
Source: RNAcentral
GACGAACGCUGGCGGCGUGCUUAACACAUGCAAGUCGUACGGUAAGGCCCUUUCGGGGGUACACGAGUGGCGAACGGGUGAGUAACACGUGAGUAACCUGCCCACAACUUUGGGAUAACGCUAGGAAACUGGAGCUAAAACUGGAUAUGUGCUCCUGCUGCAUGGUGGGGGGUGGAAAGCUCCGGCGGUUGUGGAUGGACUCGCGGCCUAUCAGCUUGUUGGUGGGGGAGUGGCCUACCAAGGCGGCGGCGGGUAGCCGGCCUGAGAGGGUGACCGGCCACAUUGGGACUGAGAUACGGCCCAGACGCCUACGGGAGGCAGCAGUGGGGAAUAUUGCACCAUGGGCGCCAGCCUGAUGCAGCAACGCCGCGUGCGGGAUGACGGCCUUCGGGUUGUAAACCGCUUUCAGCAGGGACGAAGCUUUUUGUGACGGUACCUGCAGAAGAAGCACCGGCUAACUACGUG